RNAcentral lists this long non-coding RNA (27013 nucleotides) under Ananas comosus (pineapple). RNAcentral describes it as "long non-coding RNA (ACOM_LNC024434)". The record is from RNAcentral. Lineage: Eukaryota; Viridiplantae; Streptophyta; Magnoliopsida; Poales; Bromeliaceae.
AAAACUGUGCCGAACUGUAAUCUUAAUCAGAUAACUUUCGGAUUUUAUUUCUCACUCUACGGGUGUCAGAAUGAUAUGAAACUUUAAAUCUAGCCUCAUAAAAAUAUUUCUGACAUACCCUCCAGUUUUCAUAAUUUUCUGACACUGUGCAUUUUCUGCUAAUCUAUCUGCCCCCUUUUCCACAGAAAAUUCUAAAUUUUAUAUUUUCGCUCCGAUUUCAGCACAGGUCAUUCCUAACCCAUAUUCCACUUCUCUAAAUCCAAUAAAAUAGUAUCCCAUACUAUUUUUAUUUAUUUUCACCUUUAUAUUUAAAAUCCGGUAUGUUACAUUCCGCCGCAACCCCACCGGAACCAUUUAAAUGUACACCGUAACUUCAUAGUUUUAGAAGUCCGGUACCUCACAUUCUCCUCUCCUUAAAAGAGUUUCGUCCUCGAAACUAACUCACUUCAUAUCCAAACCCCGACCCCAAUUCGACUUAUUGAGUCAUCGAGGGUUCCAAUGCACUUUCGUAUCUCGAAGUGGCCUUUUACUCAUCGGGACUAUCCAAGGGCCCACUAUAGAGGACGUGAGACCAAUUUCACUCACGUUCGCUAAGCGUAACACCGAAAGUGCAUUACUACCUCCGCAAGCCUCGAUGGCAGCGCGAGUCGACAUUCGACGACUCCUCACUCUCCAACAUCGCUCGCACAAAUUCAGGGAAUACACUCCGAUUAGAUCACCGUUGCUUAAAAGCAAGAUCGUUGGUGCAUCGACCCCUCGGAAGUGCUCCAGUCCUCAACCGGAUCCUUGCUCUACUGUGAGAUGGCCCACUUUGGCACAUCUCAAAUCUCAAUCCUCACGUGGCUUUCCAUAAUCCAAGUGUCUCCUAGAGACCACUUUACUUUCUCUUUCAAUUGCCACGGCCAACAUUAAUUUGCUUUCGCAACGAGCUCACACGAACACCCAGUUCGUGAAUCUAAGCCAAACGCCUCGACAGAGUUAUCGGCCAAACCGAUCACCUCGGUUUCCACAAGUGAACCACAAGUCGCCAACCCUACGUCGGCCUAACACUUAAACCUGUCUCAACGACACAUAGCGCCUCUCGCUCGCUAGCGUUGACCCAAUCAGCACUGGGCGAAAUUCUCACUUGGGAAUUCGCACACACUCCACGAGUAUUUAUCCUCGGGCGCUCUACACACCGCACACUAAGUCCAGCAUUAGGCAACCUUGCCUAUGCAAACCGGCCACACGAGCACGACUCGCCCACCUCAAUUCGAGGUACUAUUAGGCCCACAGGCCAAACUCAGCACUAAUCAACCACGUUCGAAACAGUGAUUCACCUUCACUGUUCGAUCUACCAGAUCUAUAUCCGAACUCUCGGACUGCUCAGGGACAUCAGCUGUCCCCACCCACGCCGAUCUAAUAAGAUCGCUCACGCGACGCCAUCAUGUCCUAAAACGCGACAACUCGACUGGUUCUCGACCCUCCAGGUCAAGUACGAAGCAACCAACACCGACUCAAAUCGGGCGAAAGUCACAUAAGAGCGUCUAUUCUCAUCACCCGGCUUCAUGUUGGGUGCACCCAACAUGAACACCCUCGGUUGAGAAUACACCACACUUUGAGUUUACCUCUAACGUCCGUCUUAGAGGUUUCACUAACUUGACCCAAUCGAUUCAACUUCCGCCUCGUCAUAGGUUCACGUCGCACUCACGCACCUAUAACCUUAGGAUUCACCAUCCUAGGGUCUCCUAGGUCCAUCCUAGACUCUCUCUUUGCUUACUCUUAACUCGCUCUGAUACCACACCUGUCACGCCCCGCCCCGAGACCGCUACCAAUUUGGCACGAUUUGGGCGCGGCGGGUGUGGCGCCGAACGGACAGCACCUCCCCUGUCCGCCCAAGGCUAAAGCGACGAGAUCAUGUACAACAAGUUUCCAAGAAAACAACUUGAAUACAUACAUGAUCAAAGACAACAACGAGAGCACAACCAGUGCUAAACAUACAAAGAGUAAGCAUCACAAGUAGAAUCAUACAAGUGAAAAAAAGAUAUAUAAACUAACUAUUACAUCACGUUUGGCAUUCAACUUUGAUACAUUUAACCUCAUUUAAACUUUGAUAUAGUCAUUACAACUUUGCUUCCUUUUUCCAAAAUGUAAAUACAUAUAGUCACUCUCCAACCUCACCCUAUACAUCAUCUACUCUCGGAUAUAAACAUAGGGUGAACUAAUGCAAAAUAGGAAGUAAGCUACUAUCAACACUAGGGCGCUAUGCCCUUACCACAGUCCUCAGCCGCUGCUCUCUCGCGUGUACCUGUACCCCAAACCACACGGGGUGAGAACUGUAUAAAUAUAGUUCCCAGUGGGUUCGGCCGCUAACUCCGCCGAUCUUCCCACUAGGUCUAAGCAGGCAUAGGAAGACGAAGACAGAUAGAUAGAUAUAUAUGAAAGCAGUAACGAUAAAGCAUAAUAUAAAAUGAUGCUAAUGUCCAACUAUGCCUCAAUCCAAUGCAAUGAAUGCGUGCACUACAUAGUAAAAAGCCAACUACUAUGCUACUAUGCUCAACAAGGUUACUUGUGUCACAUUGGUGAGGAUCCGCUCACUCACCCGACUCACACUCUAAACACAACGGGGAGGAUCCGCUCACUCGCCCGACUCACGACACACACACAACGGGGAGGUCCGUUCACUCACUCGACUCUCAAUUUAAACACAACGGGAAGGAUCCGCUCACUCGCCCGACUCACGACACACACAACGGGGAGGAUCCGCUCACUCGCCCGACUCUCGAACUCAAUCUAGUGGAAGAGGAACCGCUCACUCAAGGUGAGAACUACUCACUCAACCAUCUGUCGAUCUCGUGGAAAAGGAACCGCUCAACCAAGGUGAGAACUACUCACUCAACCAUCUCUCAGUCUCGUGGAAGAGGAACCGCUCACCCAAGGUGAGAACUACUCACUCAACCAACUCUCAGUCUCGUGAAAAAGGAACCGCUCACCCAAGGUGAGAACUACUCACUCAACCAAGACCGUCUGCAUGGCCCAAAAAGGCUAACCCCUCGGGACCCAAAAAGGCUAUCCCAAUCGUGUGACAACUCCGGAGUGCACUGCUUGUGUGGAGCGACCACACCAAGCUUCGAACAGACAUUGCUGUAUGAUCAAAUCCCCAUCAUUGAGGAUACCCUACCACUUAGACAACAUCACUUGGGAACUGGUUCACCACUAAGUUCAACAUAAAACAAAUGUUUUCUCUAUACUUUACCAAUCAUGCAACUCAUCAAGUUUAACUAUUAACUAGAUGCCACUCGUCAAGUUUAACAUUCUCAACACUAGUUAUUCUUUACUAGGCUCAACAUUCAUAACACCAGUUGGAUCACACUAGGUUUUCAUCCACAUGAACAUCAACCAUCACAUAUAGGGUUAACUACUUCAAGCUCAACUCAUGCAUACUAGGUUCAAUGCUAUAACCAUAAAGCCGACUCACACUAGCAUGCAAAUAAUGUAUAUAAAGCAUCUUUAAUACCCUAUAUGCAACAUGUACCAAUAUGCAUAACUGAUCGAUAACUGAACUUAGACAUAGGGAGCAGCCCAGCUGCUUCGGGAUGGCACUCCCCCACCUUUUACAGCGUUCCGAUUGCUCGUCGUCACUUGCAAUCGGCCUCCCUCGACGCUCGGCACCCGUUUGGGCCCGAUCUCACAGUUGCACUCCAAGAGCGCUCCGCUUCGCCGUUUCAAGUGCACUAGCUCUUCGGUUAUGUGCCACGAUGCCUCAAAUCCAUUUUCACGAUUUUACGACGUCGCCUCGGCCCUCCCGGCGGACCCGAAGCCUAAACGUCCAUUUCUUUAAUAACUUUGUAACGGCUCGUCGGAUUGCCGAACCGUCUUCGCCAACGCGUUCGUUUACCUAGCAAUUAGGUUUACAUAGGGCCAAUUUAGAUCAAACCCAUACAUUUUAUAAAAUCCCAAAAUUGGAGCCCUAACAUGCUACUAUUGCAAUAAGCUUCAAAAUUGAUUCAUGAUUUAAGCAAUUAGCAUGUAGAUAUCAUAUAGAGAGUCCUCUAAACCCAUUCCUAGAGCAUAUAAUUAAAGCUCUAAGGUUCUACCAUUUUUAAAAACCUAGCCUCUACACAUGCUCCAAGUAACCCAAAUUAAAUGGAUUCAACAUGCUAAUCAACACAUUAGAGGCUAUUAGAACACUAAGCAUUAAGGAUUAAGCCAAAUCCCAAAAACUUACCUCAUUGUGAACACCACGGCGAGAACACGCUGCUCCAACGGCCGCGCAAAAGCUCGAUCCGUCGCUCCCAACGCGUUCGCAAGCAUCAUCUCCACCAAUCCCGCGAAUUUGAGCGAGAAAUAUAGAGAAAUGAGAGAGAAAUCUAGAGAGAGAAAGGAGGGUUUCUCUCUCCCUUCUCCAUGCGUGCGUGGGUGUGGGUGUGCUCGGGCUGAAGGAGAAAGAAGAAGCACAUUGCUUCUUAUAUACUUUAACACCCAAAACACUAUUCACUUCAGGCAGUUUUUGCAGUUCGGAACAGUUGGAGCCCUUUUGAAUGUCCGUUUGAGCUUAAAUUUGACAGACAGGCUCAGUUUAAUAUACUGAGUAAGAAUAUAUUUUAAGUUUUUAGUUUCGACCCCAUUUGGUCACCGAAAACUGUGCCGAACUGUAAUCUUUAUCAGAUAACUCUCAGAUUUUAUUUCUCACUCUACGGGUGUCAGAAAAAUAUGAAACUUUAAAUCUAGCCUCAUAAAAAUAUUUCUGACUUAUUCUCCAAUUUUUAUAAUUUUCUGAGACUGUACAUUUUUUGCUAAUUUAUCUGUCCCGUUUCCAACAGAAAAUUCUAGAUCUUCUGUUUUCAUUCUGAUUUCAGCACAAGUCACUUCUGACUUAUGCUUUACUUCUCUAAAUUCAAUAAAAAUAGUUUCUUACACUAUUUUUAUUUAUUUUUAUUUUUAUACCAAAAUCUGGUAUGUUACAUUAUCCACCCCUUAAAAAGAAUUUCGUCCGCGAAAUUUAAACCACGCCUCAAUUUAGCUCCGCGAGCAAUUGAGGGUACCAACUCAUUCCCCCACUCCAAAGCGGCUUCACACUAUCGUUGUUCCAGAAGCGGCUCAUACUGAAAAACGUGGGUUUAAUCCUAAACUCAUUUGCAAAGUGUGAUACAAACGUGCAUCACGGAUCUUGCAAGUCAUAGUGGCAGCGCAAGUCGGUACUCGACGACUCUACGCGCUCCAACACCACUCACCAUUCGGUGCACAAAGAACUCUUCUUUGCACUUACCUUUCCUUCAGGGAAUACAUUCUGAUUCGAUCACCGACAUUGCUUUGGAACAGUAUCACCGAUGCAUCGCUUCGUCAUGAGUGCUCUAAUUUCGCACUGACCCUUAACUUUAACGUGAGAUGGCCUAUCUUAGCACAUCCCCAAUUCCAAUCCUUCAACUUCACGUGGCUUACUACUAGCUCAAGGUCUCACCAAAAGCAUUUCAUUUCUGAUAUCACAUGCCACGGUCAACAUCGAACUAUUUUCGCAACGAGCUCACACGAACGCUUCGUUCGUGAAUUCGAGUCAAACUCCUCGAUAAGGCUAUUUGCCAAAUCGCUUUCUUUGGUCUCCACAGGUGGACCAUAGGCCACCAAUCCUACGUAGGCUUACCGCCUAAACCUGUCUCAAUACGCAACGUCUCUCGCUCGCAAAUGCAGACCCAAUCAUGAUCGGGCGAAAUUCUCACUUGGGAAUUCGCUCACACUCCAACCAGGAGCAACUAAGAUCCCAAACCGUUACAGAUCCCCGGGUUGGGUCACACUCGUACUCUCGGUAUUCUAUCAAUCGCACGACAUGCUCUACCGAGUCACACGUACCACUACCGGCUACUAUACACCUAAUGCGAGUCACAAGCCCUACGAGUGAUCCAUGACACGCUUCACACCUAGCAAUGCUCGAGUGCUACUGCCAACACACUCACUCGGCUGAUCCAUAUCCGCACUCCACGAGUACCUAUACUCGGGCGUCGCACGCUACUAUAGCGUUCCUUACUAAGUCCAGCAUUAGACAACUCUUACCUACGCACGUCGACUUUACGAGCACGACCUUCCUACCUCACGUUGAGGUACUACUAGGCCCACAUGCUAAUACUUGGCCAUUAACCGAUUGUUCCGUCAACAGUGAUUCACUUUCACCAUUCGACCCACCGAAACGACAUCCGAAAUACUCGGACCACUUGGGUGUUCUCAAAUACCACGGCUCAACUCUCGCAAUCUACUAAUUAAGUUGCUCUGAGAGUCGAUUAGCCACCUCUGUCUCUACCGCGAGUUUCACUUCUCGCCAAAGGUCACUACUAGCACUUCGCUAGUGCCUUCUGGCUCUAUACCUAUACUAGCAGGUACUACUCCCUCACAACACGAGCAUGCCCGGGUAUCUAUACUCACCCGUCCACUCGGUCUUCAACCUGGGUCACGUAUCUACGGCCACCCGACGCUUGCUGCGAACCUUUAGGUUGCAUUGUCCUCAACGCCCUCUCUCCCGACCAUGCCGCAGAUGGCACACCUACAGGCCAUCCUAGAGAGAAAUAGGCUGUCGCCAGUGUCAGGCCCCGGCUGUCACCUUACAGACACUCGUCCCGCGCACAGCCCGGUUGCCCACACCUGUAGCACUUGCCCUCUCACAGCUUGCAAUACUAUGGGUAACGAAAACACCCACAAACGACACAUCUCACUAAGGACCGAACACAGUAGGUCCCCGGAACUCAGAAUCACGAGCGCGAACACAUUGCACUCAGUUGAAAACUUGACGGACUACUGAAUCCACUCAUUGGCCGUCCUAUUUUCUUUUUCCUUGCAAAUGGACUCACGCUCCCUUCGCACAAUUGCACUGCCUUGUUCUAUCCACAAGGCCUAAUCCUCAAAGCUCCUCUAAUCCUCCUCUUUAGAAAAGCUCCUGGAGAGUGAGAGAAGAAAGAAUAUGGAGUUGAAGGGGUACUCCUUGCUGUGAACAAGGAAAGAAGGGGUGUGGGGUUUAUACAAACCGCCACAACUACAUUUAAACCCUCCCCCCCCCAACAUUUCUCAUUUGCAGCAGAUCUCAACCUACUGCCAGACCCAUCGUGUACCGGUACACGGGCUUUUGUACCGGUACAAAGCUGUGCAGAAGCAAACCCGAGAGCAUCCUCCUCGAAUUUUACCAAAGGGUACCGGUACAAACCAGGGGUGUACCGGUACACUUCUACAAAAACUCAAACCCUAGAGCAAUGCUUUUCUCAAGCCGCUUGCUGUACCGAUACAACCAUCAACAUGUACCGGUACACUUUCCUCCAGAACGUAGUUUUAGCUUGUUUUCGACUCCAACUCGCACCGAUCGAUGCUAAAACUAUUCUAACUCUUUUAGAGCCCAAUUUUUAUCCCUCCAACAUCGUCAGAAUGUCAAUUGGACUUUAUCCAACUAUUUCUCUCAACGCACUUUGGUCAAUUUGACUAAAGUUUGAUGUUUAUUUACCGAAAUUUCGGUACGUUACAUUCUCCCCUCCUAAAAGGAGUUUUGUUCUUAUUAUCCCGCUCUAUGUCCGGGAUGCAAUUCACGACACGGGAGAAUUCCCGCUCGUAUUCCCUCACGGCGCGGUCUACCUGCCGCAGCUUCGAGAACCUUUCCUGAAGCUUUCUUUUCCNNNNNNNNNNNNNNNNNNNNNNNNNAAUUUGUCACGCCCCGGGGUCCCUUUAGGUUAAAAACACAGCGGAAAAUUUUUUUUUUUUUGCAAACCUGACCCCAGGGUAUGCCAGAUCCGCCACAAAUACAGGGAAUCCACUGUUCACACGGACAGAGUCUCCCCUGUAUUUGCACGGCGUCGCACAAGUACAAGAGUAUAGCCAGGAAACAACCACAACCAAAUGAAUAUAAAGAAUACUAUACAUUCAUACAUUCACCAUUCACAUCACAGUUUUACAUUCAGUGGUUAAAUAGAAAUUCACGAAAAUUCUUUUGAAAACUGUUCCCCACACGGAAACCUUUAAUCUUUAAGAAACGCUACCACGAGGGGUAGAAAACCUUUAGUUCAAGAAAACACAAUCCUUUAUUACAUUCCAAAAUCAACUGAAAACUCAGAUAUUCAAAUUAUAAAACAAAACUGAACCAUGUAAACCGACUAAGCUAUACAUAUCCACAGAAAUAAAAGGGUAAUAGCUAAAUCGAAAUAACCUGGGUCGGAAGCUCUAUCGAUCGCUACACACGUACCUCACGUCUCGUCCCACUACUCAACGCCCACGAUACCUGAAAAAUGGUGGGGGAGGUGAGAACAUGUAAACAUGUCUCCCCUCCCAGUGGGUACCGCAAGCCGAAGAAGGCGAGGAGUACUCACCGGAUCAGGAAGAGAUAACCAACAGUAUGGAUAAGUAAAAUACAAUAGCAACGAUAAUGAACGAGCGAGAUAUAUAUAUAUGAAAACACAACUACCGCUACUGUAAUGUACAACUGCAAGCAUACAAGGAUAUCAAAACUAUAGUAGCAAGAUAACUGUAAAGAAAGAAUUAGAAGUAUAUAUGCAACAACCGCUACUAUAGCUAUAUGCGUCAACCGGACGAGAAGUCCAAAAGUACCGAAUCUGAAACCAAUGCUCUCUUGGUCAGCACCGCAGACCUCAAGCCAAUGCCCUGGAGGUCCGCACCGCAACACCUCCCGACAGUACCACUGCCGAUCUAACAUGCAUAUAACCCCUCUAGGGCUCACGGGUUGUCACCAUUCAACCACUUUUCCGGAAAAGAACACUCCUUGCGGUGGAUCAGACCGCCAGUGUUCGUGAAAUGCAACGAGUAUCGGGCGAUCAAUGCAAUAUGGUCAAUGAUCAACCGUCGGCAACCAGCCGACAAUCCUGCCCCCCAGGGCCUAUCGACCACAUAGGUCAUCACUGUAAAGAAGCACAAGAACCGACCACUCAGGUCAACUAGGAUGGAACAACUCAACACCCUACCAAAAGUAUGUAGAUACUGAUCAAUAGGUCAACUACUAUAUAUAUGCAAGAAUCGAUCAACAAGUCAUCUGAGUAUAUAAUCUAGAACUACCGUCGGCCAUAGCCGACAAUCCUACCCUUCAGGGUACACCGACCUCAAAGGUCAUCGACGAUGGAGUACAAGAACUGACCAACCAGGUCAACAGAUAUAAGAUAAAAGCACCGAUCAACUAGGUCACUGAAACGAAGUACGAGAACCGACCAAUCAGGUCACCGAAACAAAGUACGAGAACCGACCAAUCAGGUCACCGGUAUCACAUAUGGAUAAACUACUCUACUCCUACACAUGAUACUAAGCAUAGAAAUACUCAACAAUAGAAAAAUAUGAUAAGGGAUAAUAGAAAAACCGGGAUGCAGAAGCUCAAUAUGAUACCAUACAGUAAUAGCACACGCAAGAAACAGGGAAUAGAAAGAGACAAUCACCGAGCGUUCGCACGCACUGUACCCUUAGACGUCGGAUCGAAGUACGCAUCACCAUCCACGUUUUCCUGUAAAUAGUACUCGGAUCAGAUCUCUAGACCGACGAAACCGCAGGGAAACAGGAGCAACUCCGGACCUACAAGGGUUCCACAAAUCAGAAAAAGGAUGACCCUAAUGUAGAAAACUAACCAAUAAUUAAAAUCCCCCUCAGAACAAAGGAACAAAGGGAAAUCGGUCGGCUAAAGAACGAUUGCCAAAUCACAACGUCGGGAGAAUGUUGACCCUCGAAUAUCCAGCCGCGCAGGGCUCGCCGUCGGGGUCCAAGUACUUAUCCACCCGGAACUGCCCCCAACUCCAACGUUGGAGUCACCACCGCUGCCCCGACUCUAAUACCUGAAAACUACCCAGCAUUGGCAUGCUAAACACGCCCACACUGAAAGUCGGCCUCGGAACACGACAUUCUGUUGAAAAAUAAACUCUCGAAAGCCGGGUUCCCUAUCGAAACGGGUGUCGUGUUUUUGACACCGAUCCCCCGGAACGAUAUCGGGGGCCUGCCACGCAGUCGCCAUAGGCAUAUACGUUGCGACACCGGAAACAUACCAUGCAUGCAAGAUUGAAAACUAGUUUAUAGACGACUAAUGUCGGCACAGCAGAAGGGCCCUCAGACCUUAAACAGCUUUAAUGUGCACUAGUUUACCUCAAACACUACGAAGAAGAGUCAGCCGUCGUUUCUCUUGUACAUAAGCUUUUCGCCUAUGACACCCUGAAACGACCCGGGUGACCUGCCAGAAGAGGCUUAAGCGACAUCACAAUAUGAGAUUCCGAGNNNNNNNNNNNNNNNNNNNNNNNNNNNNNNNNNNNNNNNNNNNNNNNNNNNNNNNNNNNNNNNNNNNNNNNNNNNNNNNNNNNNNNNNNNNNNNNNNNNNNNNNNNNNNNNNNNNNNNNNNNNNNNNNNNNNNNNNNNNNNNNNNNNNNNNNNNNNNNNNNNNNNNNNNNNNNNNNNNNNNNNNNNNNNNNNNNNNNNNNNNNNNNNNNNNNNNNNNNNNNNNNNNNNNNNNNNNNNNNNNNNNNNNNNNNNNNNNNNNNNNNNNNNNNNNNNNNNNNNNNNNNNNNNNNNNNNNNNNNNNNNNNNNNNNNNNNNNNNNNNNNNNNNNNNNNNNNNNNNNNNNNNNNNNNNNNNNNNNNNNNNNNNNNNNNNNNNNNNNNNNNNNNNNNNNNNNNNNNNNNNNNNNNNNNNNNNNNNNNNNNNNNNNNNNNNNNNNNNNNNNNNNNNNNNNNNNNNNNNNNNNNNNNNNNNNNNNNNNNNNNNNNNNNNNNNNNNNNNNNNNNNNNNNNNNNNNNNNNNNNNNNNNNNNNNNNNNNNNNNNNNNNNNNNNNNNNNNNNNNNNNNNNNNNNNNNNNNNNNNNNNNNNNNNNNNNNNNNNNNNNNNNNNNNNNNNNNNNNNNNNNNNNNNNNNNNNNNNNNNNNNNNNNNNNNNNNNNNNNNNNNNNNNNNNNNNNNNNNNNNNNNNNNNNNNNNNNNNNNNNNNNNNNNNNNNNNNNNNNNNNNNNNNNNNNNNNNNNNNNNNNNNNNNNNNNNNNNNNNNNNNNNNNNNNNNNNNNNNNNNNNNNNNNNNNNNNNNNNNNNNNNNNNNNNNNNNNNNNNNNNNNNNNNNNNNNNNNNNNNNNNNNNNNNNNNNNNNNNNNNNNNNNNNNNNNNNNNNNNNNNNNNNNNNNNNNNNNGCGUGGCGGCGGUCGGAGGAGGUCGGGGCGGCGACGGUACGUCGGCGGAGGUCGAGGAGGAGGUGGUGCGCCCCACUGUGGGCGGCGGCGACGCGCGGAGGCCACUAGGGCUCCGCCUCGGCCCGCACCAGGUCUGGGCGGCUGCAGGAGCCGCGAGCGGCGGCCGGCGGCCUCGGGGACGGCGAGAAUCGCGAGCGGGAGGUCCCCGGAGGUGCCAGGAGGGCGGCGUGGCCAGACCAGAAAGGCGGCAUCGCGAGGGGAGGGAGGUUCCACAGCCUCGGCCAGAUCUGCUCAGAUCUGGCCGCAACUUGCCGUGGCGGCGGCGGCGGCUCGGGGCGGCAGGAACGGCGCCGGGGGGGGAGAUUCUGCCAGAGGGUGGUGGUGCUCGGGCUCACAGGCUUCCCCGAGCACAGCAGCCAACAAGAUGCAAGUUGGGGCCCGGAGGAAAAUCGAGAGGAGGUCGGGGUGGUUCUUCCGGCGGCCGGACGAGCUCGCCGGCGGCCGGGACGCGCGCACAAGUUGGGCGGGGACUAGCUGAGGUCGGCUAGGGCUAGGUAGGGAACACGGUUGCCGGGUCUAGGGUUCCUCAUGGAUGAAACCCUAGGAAACAAUAUAAACAACGGCCACUUUGCACCAAAGUCCUCCGAAACAGAAAAUUUCCAACGGAGACCUUCACAGCGCGAGUAAAUCGCGUGUACGCACCACCACGUUCGACCUCGUGCGAUUCGGUACAUCAAAUAUGGGGACUUUUGCGAAGAUACUGUUUUCCCUACACCGACCUCUUCUCGAUCAACGCGCAAUCUCCGCAGAUCCGUCCGUCAGAUUUGCGAACGGAUUGCACCAGUGCAAUCAGCACCUCGGAGACAACAAAGCUACACUUUCGUUUCAUCUCGAUCGACCACGGAUUCACGACAAAAUCCAACCUUCUUCCAAAAGAAGGAAUCACAUNCACGAAGCACCGUCGGAAUAAUUCCGAACCGAACCCGCGUUCCGUCGGCGGAUUUCGCCGAAAAACGCACCGGAAAUGCAUUUCCGAUCUUCGCAAGGGUCUGGGGCCUUGGACAAUCAGUCCAGAGGUUAUCCUCAACCCACACUUGCUGCCAACAGCAGCUAUGACGAACCAAAAUGCAUAAAAGCCCUCCAGAAUACCUGAAAUCGCAUUAUUUCAUGCGAUUUCGGCGCUUUUAUGGUCCGACAGCGCAAACCCGAGGUCAAACAGCCAAGACGAGACUUCUGCUGACUGGUCUCGGCGUGCCGGAGGCCGUGCUCACCUUUCGGAGCACUGCCGGCCACUGUGGCACGCGCACAGGCGACGCAAAAUUAGAGAAACAGCGCGCACAGGAGGAAAAGCAUGCCUAUCUCGCUAACCAGGGGUUCGUCGACCCUAAGUGAGGUGAACACUGUGAUCAGGACUGACUGACGAUCACCGUGCUCACCUCCGGAGGCAUCGGAACAGCCUCGGGUCGCCGGAACAGUGAGAAGAACAGAAAACACUGCGCAGAAAGGCUGAAAUCCAGCUUACAGAGCUAGGCAGGGCACGGGGUGGCCGGCGGCGGCCGGACGGCGGGCAGGCCGGCCAGGGGUUGGUGCGGCAGGUCCGAGGUGGCCAGGACUGGCGUCAGCAGGCGACGGGAGGCGACGGCGACGACGGCCAAUGAUGCCCUAGGCACCCAAACCCGAAGAGAACACGGCUCGCUUCGGCCGACGGGGAGCUUCGGCGGCGCAAGCGACGACGGCGGACGAGUGCGCCCGACCAGCCGGGACCCGUGCUCACGCCGUUCGGCGGCGGAACGCGGCUGCGGCGGUGCUGGACCAAACCGAGCCCGCGCGGGUUCACCAUGGCUCCAAAGGUAGCGGCAACCAUGGCGGCGGCCGGAGGAAGGUCGGGGAGACGGCGGCACGUCGCCGGAGGUCGAGGAAGGUCGGCGCGCCAUGCUGCGGGUGGCGGUGACGCGCCUAAACCGAGGUCACCCAAACUCGGCCUGGGCGCAUGCAGGUGGCCGCAGAGAGCUGGGGCGGCUCCGGCGGCGUGUGCUGACGGUGGGGCCGGCGGCGGAGGAGGUCGGGCAGCGACGGUACGUCGGCGGAGGUCGAGGAGGAGGUGGUGCGCCCCACUGUGGGCGGCGGCGACGCGCGGAGGCCACUAGGGCUCCGCCUCGGCCCGCACCAGGUCUGGGCGGCCGCAGGAGCCGCGAGCGACGGCCGGCGGCCUCGGGGACGGCGAGGAUCGCGUGCGGGAGGUCCCCGGAGGUGCCAGGAGGGCGGCGCGGCCAGACCAGAAAGGCGGCAUCGCGAGGGGAGGGAGGUUCCACAGCCUCGGCCAGAUCUGCUCAGAUCUGGCCGCAACUUGCCGUGGCGGCGGCGGCGGCUCGGGGCGGCAGGAACGGCGCCGGGGGGGGAGAUUCUGCCAGAGGGUGGUGGUGCUCGGGCUCACAGGCUUCCCCGAGCACAGCAGCCAACAAGAUGCAAGUUGGGGCCCGGAGGAAAAUCGAGAGGAGGUCGGGGUGGUUCUUCCGGCGGCCGGACGAGCUUAGCCGGCGGACCGGACGCGCCACAAUUUGGAGCUCGGAUGGACAUCAGCUGCAGGUCUGACUCAGCGCUAGGUAGGGAAAACACGGUUGCCGGGUCUAGGAUCCUCAUGGAUGAAGCUCCCUAAGGAAACAAUAUAAACAACGCCACUUUGCAACCAAAUCCCCGAAACAGAAAUUUCCAACGGAGACCUCACAUCGCGCGAGUAACAAUCGCUGUACGACACCACACGUUCGACCUCGUGCGAGUUCGGUACAUCAAAAUAUGGGACAUCUUUUUGCGAAGAUUACUGUUUUCCCUACACCGGACCUCUUCUCCGAUCAACGCGCAAUCUCCGCAGAUCCGUCCGUCAGAUUUGCGAACGGAUUGCACCAGUGCAAUCAGCACCUCGGAGACAACAAAGCUACACUUUCGUUUCAUCUCGAUCGACCACGGAUUCACGACAAAAUCCAACCUUCUUCCAAAAGAAGGAAUCACAUACACAAAUACAUAUAAAACAUGUAUUUUUGGAUUUUCUCGAAAUCCGUGUGUCAAACUCAAAAUCCGACAGUGCCACUAGUUCCAGAACUGCUGAACCGGUCGAAACGAGCUAUUGGACUGAUAUGAACAGAGUCCGAUACGCACCAGAAGCCAACUCUACUCCGUGGCUUCUCCGAAAAACCGGAGUUACUAUUCACUUAAGUGAAAACUAAAAAUCGCGUAUCUUCUCCGUUUUAGCUCAGUUUCUCCUGAAACUUGACGAGUGCUUAUAUAAUUAAAUUACACACAUAAACAUCAUUAACAGAGAGUUUAGUAGCACUGUCAAAAAUCUCAGUCCUUACAAGUUGGUUAGAAUAGAGCAUGAUAGUGUAGGGACAUGUAGCUGUAGAUUGUCUUCCAGCUUUCCUACUAUCUUUACUUCCUUCUGUAGACUUAAUGGGUGGACCGACGAUGUUGAGGGCGGCAUCCAUUGAGGACUACUUGUUUUACAGUAGUUCUCACGCCCUGUUGUUACCCUUCUUUUGCAGAGCCAUCGGUUCCGGCUGCUGCAUCUUCUGAGGCCGAUCGUGGCAAAGGCGUUGCGAGCUAUAGCCCUACCCGACGAGUUGCUGAGAUAGAGGAUCCCUACUGCAGGUAGAUUUACUUUUGUUCGAGUUCAUGUACAUACAGAUGUUAUAACUCGCUGGGGCGAGCCCUUUUUGUAUCUGGAUAUUAUGUAUGUAUAUGGAACUCGCUUUUGUUUUACUUGUUCUUUUCUUUCUAGCAGUUCUAUACUACUGGUUGUAGUGUUGUUUGAUUACGGUUUCAGUACAGCUUCGCUUCGUAUACAGGGAAAACUCCUUCGUAUACGGCGGGUCUGUUGGCGUGCCCGGAGAAACGUGUAAUCUGGGGCGUGACACUUUUAGGUUGAGUGGAUAAUUCAAAAUAUGAAACUAAAUUUUGAUUUAUUCAAAUUCAAACUUAAAAUUACAAUUUAAAUUUUAAUUUGAAAUUUAAUUUAAGUUUGAAAUAAAAUUUGAAUAAAACUUUAUACCAAAUUAAAAUUUAAUUUAAAUUCAAAUUCAUAAGUUAGAUUCGAAAUACUUGAUUAAAUUUUAAUUUUUAAUUUAAGUUCAAAUUAAAAUUUAAAAUUAUAUAUUUAAUUUUUAAAUUUUAACUCAUAUUUUAAUUAAAAAAGUUGAAAAAAUAAAUUUAAUCUGAAUAAAUAUCCAUUCCGUCCAGAUUCAACUUCCAAUCCGGCCUUCUAGGCCGGAUUGAAAAAAGAAGUGAUUGGGGGAUUCCCAUUCCACUCGGGAAUCGGAAUGGGAAUGGAACUCCUGCAUACCAAACACCCACAAACGUAUUCACCCAUUCCGAUUCCGAUUCCAAGGUGAAAAAGAAGCGAACCAAACACACCUACAGUGUCUGUAAAUUUUUGCCCUGCUGACUGUAUGGUUUUGAGUAAAAAGACCAUGACUACAAAAUGUAGUAUCAUUGUGAAUAUGCAUUUAUUUAGAUUCAUUACUUCUUUUUUAUCUUUAGUCUGUGUUUGGUUCGGAUAUAAGUAAGAACUGUUUGUUCUAGUAAUAAGUACAAGUUCAGGUAUAAACAUGAACUAAGCCAACUUUGUGUUUGGAUGAAAGUUUGGUUGUUCUUAGGAAUAAGAUAAAUAGUAUUUGGAUGGUUAGAUUGGAAUAAGAGGAAUAAGAGUUAUAAUUUGAACUUAAAAUUAUAUUAUCUAAUUAAUUAACAUCAAAAUAUUACUUAAAAAUAAAUAAUAACUAAAUUAUUAAUAAUUAAUAAUANUCGAUAUCUACUUGUUUUUUUAUGUUCAGGGAUAUGGACAGAAGUGAAGACAUGAAAUCCCAGCUCAUCACAAGUUCAUAAAUCCCCCACAUUCAACAUUUAAAUCAUUUUUUGAUCCACUUAUUCUCUCUCUCUCUCUCUCUCUCUCUCUCUCUCUCUUAAUGGGUCUGUUUCCUGUGUCACCAACUAAUCUCUAUUGAAGUUUCCCAAGGGAAAAUCCUGAUCCACUUGAUUUCACAGAGGGAGUAUCCUUCAAUAGGAAAUUUUCUUAUCCUAUAAUCAUAGAAAUUUAAAUAACACAACAAGAAUUAAAGUGUUCAUUAGUACAGACCUGCUAUUAUUCAAAUUAGUAAAUAAUUUUUUCAAUAAAGUUCAAAAGAUUUGAUAAAGAUACAUAAUAAAUCAUUAAAAUAUUUUAUUGUUAAAAAAAAUAAAUAUUUCACGCCAUUUUGUGCCGGCAUACAUGUAUUUUUUAUAACCGGCACGUAUCGACACUGUCCGACACGCACCGUACCGGCAAGUUUCCAGCACGACUCCGUGCAACGACACUUAAAUCAAUGUAAUAGACUAUCAGAAAUGAAAAUUUCUUAUUCUAUGAAAUAUAUUUUUAGAUAACAGGCUAUAGGAAAUGAUACAGUUAGCAGUACAUUUUUUGUUUAAUUUUGAUAUUCAGAAUUUUUCUGCACACGCUCUUCGACUCACUAUCCAUCAAAUGAAAAGAUCAAAUAACCACCUUCUCUUUUUUUGGCUGACAGUUGAAUCACCGCAAUUGGUGGAGAUUGGUCUUCCAUUUUAGAUGGAUGUCAAGAUCAGGAGUGUACAGAAAAAAAUGCACGUAAGGUUGCAGGAGAUCUAUGCCUGAUUCGAUCAUCCUCAUUCUAUGAAGUUUUGAAAUCGACUCCCAACUGAAUAACUUUUAAGAGAUUAGCAGAGAUGUGAGCCAGGAGGAUCUCAAGACCAAGCAGAAAAACACCAGACACAGAACUGCAGGAAAUCUAUGGCCGGAUUGAUCCCCACGGUAAUAUGAAAGCAACAUAAGUUGGAAAUUCAAAAAUAAAUAUGAGGAGACCAUAUCAUUUGCAUAUAUAAAACAACAGUCUCCACUAUAACAGCAUUGGAACAAUUGCUACAAGUUCAGAGAUUUCAAGGUUAACAAGUUUCUACUUGCGAAAAAAGAGGGGGGAAAGUACUAAACACCCAGGAAGAUCAAUAUAAGGGAUUAAGGCAUGGACAUCUUUAUGGUACAAAGAACAAUUACCAAUCAAAGAAGAGAAAUGGUUCAAUCAUCACAGAUUUUGAAAAAAGGGGGAAAAACUUAACAAAAUAAACACCUUUAAUACAAGGAAGGAAACACGAUAAAGCGACUAUAAAGGUAUAGGAGUUAAGCAUGUUAGCAAAGCAGCAGAGAGCUUACUCCCCUCCUGUUAGAGCGGAGCUAAGCCAAUCUGAAGCUGAGGAUUGGAUCUCAGAUUCCACAUACAAUUGCAGAUGUAUAGGAGUGACAGAUAUCUGCAUAUUAUUGAACAGACAAUUAUUCAGAUUUUCAAGGGAGAGAGAGAGAGAGAGAGAGAGAGAGAGAGAGAGAGAGAGAGAGAGAGAGAGAGAGAGAGAGAGAGAGAAUUAAAGAGGGUUAUAAUCUGUUCUAUUACAUUCUAGUUUUUUUUUUCUUUUGCUAAUAGCAUAAAUUUUGAGAGAAAAAAACUUAAUUUAAUAGCCGAAUUUUUAAUUGAUGAACGUAUAAUAUAAUAUGCGUAUAAAUUAUGUAUCCAAAUAAUUGGCGCAUCUAUGUUUUAGCCGCAUUUUUCAACGAAUUUAAAAAUUAGAAGGCAAAUUUUAUCCGAAUUAUAUCCAUACCGAAUUUUUGCCGAAUCCGAAUUAACUAACUAUGGUGCCGGCAAUAGCGAAGAAGGGAAGAGAAGAGAGAGAAAACUCCUUCUCUCUCCUAAUUAUUAAUAAUAAUAAUCCAUACGUAUACAUGAUUUCUCAUAAAUUUUUACCAUGUGACAGCACUAUAGUCUCUCAUUUUCAAAAUUUCUAUUCUUCAAUCACAACGACCGCUCGCCUUCCUCGCAACAUCUACCUCUUUGACUUUCCGUCUCAUUAAUUCGUUCCUUGUAACGUCUGCCUCUUUGGCUUCCCAUCUCAUUAAUUCCUUCCCCGUAACAUCUGCCUCUUCAGCUUUCCGUCUCAUUAAUUCCUUCUCUGUAACGUCGCUGCUUCCACUUUCUGUCUCAUUAGUUUCUAUUUUCUAAGAGGCGUUGACUGAGAAGCCCGUGGGCACGGCAUACUGCGUCCUCGACAACGACCUCGCCUACUACGUCCGCUCCAACCUCAAGCCCCGCAGGCGCCGCCCUCGCUCUCGCCAUCAAUGUUGGGUGAAUCGAUAACCCUAGCCCCCAACCCUUCUCCCACGAUCUCGAUCACUUAAAUUUGUAAUGUAUAGUUAUGCAAAAGGAUGCGUAUCCUUCUCCUCUAAUAGCCUCAGAGGACGAAAAGUAUCGGCUAAAAUAUAGACUUGCCGAAAAGGGGUUGAAGGUACAAUAAUACUUCAUGAAAUCAUUCAGUGUUAGUAAAAAAAUACCCUAAAUGAGGAUAUAAAGGGAUUCAAUUUCUAUGUAACAAUUUUUUUUUCUCCUAUAGUUUUUUUUAUCUUUUGUUGUUUUUCAUUGAAUUAUAAUUCUAUUCUAAAUUUUAAAGUAUUGUUUAUAUUAUAAAAUUUAAUCAAAUAUAAUUAUAUUCGCUGUAUCGUACGGAUUUCUACACUAGUAAUAAUAAUAAAAAAAUAUUUUUUAUAAUUAUUUUGGCUAACUUAGUUUAGAAAAUAUAAAUAUAUGAACCCCUCUUCUCUGCCGACGUUUGCCCUCUCCUCAGCCGCCGGCCUAGGGACGCCACCAAGGUCUUUUUCUAGUGUUGAAGGGCGGGGAAGGGGGCGGCGGCAUCCUUUCUUCUCCGAACCUUGCUUUUUUUUUUAAAAUUAAAGUUGUCCAUAUAAAACAUCAAAACAUAAAAAUUAAAUUAUGUUCUAAUAAAUAUAAAAAAAUAAAAAUUAUAGAAAGGUUCAUCCUUGUCACGCCCCGGGGUCCCUUUAGGUUAAAAACACAGCGGGAAUUUUUUUUUUUUUUUUUUUGCAAAUCUGACCCCAGGGUAUGCCAGAUCCGCCACAAAUACAGGGAAUCCACUGUUCACACGGACAAAGUCUCCCCUGUAUUUGCACGGCGUCGCACAAGUACAAGAGUAUAGCCAGGAAACAACCACAACCAAAUGAAUAUAAAGAUAGCUAUACAUUCAUACAUUCACCAUUCACAUCACAGUUUUACAUUCGGUGUUUAAAUAGAAAUUCACGAAAAUUCUUUUGAAAACUGUUCCCUACACGGAAACCUUUAUUCGUUAAAAACGCUACCACGAGGGGUAGAAAACCUUUUAUUUUACAAAAUCCAGAAAUCCACAUUUUCAAAUGUAAAUAAACACUGAACCACAUAAACCAACUAAACUAUUCAUCAGCCAAAAUAAGAAGGGUAAGAAAGUAAACCGAAUUAACCCGGGUCGAAAGCUCUAUCGACCGCUACACGCGUACCUCACGUCUCGUCCCACUACUCAUCGCCCACGAUACCUGAAAAAUGGUGGGGGAGGUGAGAACAUGUAAACAUGUCUCCCCUCCCAGUGGGUACCGCAAGCCGAAGAAGGCGAGGAGUACUCACCGGAUCAGGAAGAGAUAACCAACAGUAUGGGUAAGUAAAAUACAGUAGCAACGAUAAUGAACGAAUGAGAUAUAUAUAUAUAUAUAUAUAUAUAUGAAAACACGACUACCGCUACUGUAAUGUACAACUGCAAGCAUACAAGGAUAUCAAAACUAUAGUAGCAAGACUACUGUAAAGAAAGAACUAGAAGUACAUAUGCAACAACCGCUACUACAGCUAUAUGCGUCAACCGGACGAGAAGUCCAAAAGUACCCAAUCUAAACCGCCGUGUCGGUCUAAGGACCUCAGGCAAAAGCCACUAUCUGCUCACACCUGGCAUGUAACCCUAGCACAAAGAGAACACCGCUGGGCUCACGGGUCGGAUGUACGACCACUUUUCCGGAAAAGAACACCCUCCUGCGGGGGAUCAACCCGCUGGUGUACGUGAAAUGCACUCGAGCUGUGCCGAUCAAUGCGGAUAUGAUCAAUAGCCAACCGUCGGCAAUCAGCCGACAAGCACUGCCCCUCUGGGCAUACCGACCGUGUAGGUCAUCAAGUAACAACGUGAACCGACCGAGAUAGGUCCAUGUACGGAAAGUAACGAACGACCAAACAGGUCACCGAUGCAAAUAGGAGAACCGACCAACCAGGUCACAAGUAUAGUAUAUACGAAUGCCGUCUACUCUACCCCUAUACAGGAUACUACACAUAGAACAACUAGGCAGAGUAAAUAAAGAUAGUAUGAAGAUACUGCUCGAUGUCAACUAAAAGUACGAACGCAAGAACCGACCGCUAGGUCACAGGAGUGUAUUCGAUAUAAUCCAGAACUACCGUCAGCACCAGCCGACAAUCCUACCCCUCAGGGUACACCGACCUCAAAGGUCAUCGAACGACAGAAGUCAAGAAAUAGACCAACCCACUACAUAAUGCAACAACCGACCAACCAGGUCAACAGAUAUAAGAUAAAAGCACCGAUCAGCUAGGUCACCGAUAUCACAUAUGGAUAAACUACUCUACUCCUACACAUGAUACUAGGCAUAGAAACAUAUGAGUAGAGUAUAAUAGAAACAACGGGGAUGCAAGCUCAGUAUAUAAUACGAAAAUAGUAACAGAAGAACAGGGAUAGAAGAAAUAUCACCGAGCGUGCACCACUGUACCGACUUCGGAUCGAAGUACCCACCUGUACAACUGUCGCGCCUGUCUCCUGACUGCAAAAGAACGUCAACCGGACCUAAAGAGGGUCCACUGGGUUAGUGUCUAACCCACAGCUAAGAAACCCUAAAAGCAUAACCCACAAACAAUCCCCCGGAGAUCGGUUUCCCAAUACCGAUUACCGUAACUCGCCGGAAGUCCCGAGAAUCGCACCGGGACUCCGCCGGGACCCACUAACUAUCCCGGAAGGCACCGACUCAUGCCACGAGUCAUUCGCUGCCACUAAACACUUAUUUUAGUGUGACAAGGCAGCAAACACAAGGAUACACAACCAAACAACUAUUGGUGGAUAAUUGUUGGGAUCCGGGUUCCCGGAAGUGUCUAUUUCGACACCGGAACCCACCGUCACUCACCCGCCAUUUCUGAACUCUCGAAAUGAUACGAGUGACCAGCCAAUAAGGCUCAGCGACCACACAAUAGCUCACGAAGCACCGUCGGAAUAAUUCCGAACCAAAACCGCGUUCCGUCGACGGAUUUUGCCGACAAACGCACCGGAAAUACAUUUUCGAUCUUCGCAAAGGUCCGGGGCCUUGGACCAUCAGUCCAGAGGUCACCCACAGCUCACCCAUGCUGCCAACAGUAGCUACGACAAAUCAAAUUGCAUAAAAGCCCUCCCGAUUACCCGAAAUCGCAUUAUUUCAUGCGAUUUCGGCGCUUUUAUGGUCCGUCUACACAAACCAGGAGUCAUGCAGCCAAACCGAGACACCUACUGACAGGUCUUGACGUGCCGGAGGCCGUGCUCACCUUUCGGAGCAAUUCCGACCACUGUGGAGGGCGCGCGCAUGAAGCGAACUUCAGCUAAACAGCGCGCAUGGUAUCUAAAUCGCGUCUAACACGCAAACCGGGGAACCGUUGACCCCGAUGGAGGUGAGAAUGAUGCUCAGCACGGAGUAACGAUGUUCGUGCUCACUUCCACUGUCAUCGGGGUACCUUCAGAUCGCCCGAAAGGUGACCGGAACCCUAAACUACAGUGCUGGAACCUAAAACAGUAGCAUACCGGAGCUAGGCAGGGCUCGGGGUGGUCGGCGGCGGCCGGACAGCGGCCAGGCCGGCCAGGGGAAGGUGCUCCAGGUCAGAGGAGGCCGGGGCUCACAUUAACAGGCGACGGGAGGCGGGGGCGACGGCGGGCAUUGAUGCCCUAGCCACCUAACCCGAGGAGAGAACGGCCCAGAACCGGCCAACAGAGAGCUCCGGCAACAGCGAGGCCGGCGGCGGACGGGUGUGGCCGGCCAGGCGGAGCCGAUGCUCACACCGGCCGGCGGCGGAAGGCGGCGACGGCGGUGCUGGGCGUGGCUCAGCCUGCACAGUCCAUGCGCGGCCGCAGGGAGAGGGAGCGGCGGCCGAAGGCCACGGAGACGGCUGGGGGGAGCUCCGGGCGACGGCGAGCGGUCGUCGGAGGCCGGCGGGAGGCGGCCUGGCUGAUCCUAGACAGCGGCGACGCGGGGGAGAGAGAUCUGGCCAACCACGGCCAGAUCUCGCUCGGGCUGGCCGCAAACAGUAGGAGCGGCGGCGGCGGCCACGCUGGCCGGACGCAGAGGUGCCGGCGGUCACGAGGGAGAUCGCCUAUGAGGUCCCAGGCGGCGGCGAUCCCAGGAGGCAGAGGUCGCGCCGGCUCGGCCCGCUCUGGGUCUGGGCGACUUCAGCGCGUCCUGGCGGCGCCGGCGACGCGCGUGGACGGCGGGGCCGGCGGGUAUGUCGUCGGAAGGGAAGCCUCGGCCGGAGAACUCUGGUUCGACGCAAAAGGAUGCUUUCCUGGGAUUCACGGCCUAAGAAGCAGAACCCGAAGGAGAGGAGAACACUAAAAGGCCUACUCCGGUGGCCGGAAGUGCUCGCCGGCGGCCAGAGUGCGAGCGGCUAGGAAGGGGAAGGUUUCAGAGGAUGCAAAGAGGUCGGCUGAGGGAGAAGAUGAAUCAAAGUUAGGGUUUUCCCCACGAAACCCUAGUGCAACUGCUAAUUACAAAUGCACAAUUGCAAGAUAGUCCUCCCAGGGAUGAAAUUGUCAGUCAAGUCCCUCACAUCAUGCGUAUUUUACACAUACGCACCUCCAUGUCCGAUCUCACGCAAUUCGGCACAUAAAAUAUAACGACUUUUGUGAAUUUCCCGAUUUCCACUCACGACCCCUUAGCGAACAACAUGCAAUAUCCGGCAAUCCGUUCUUCGGAUUUCCGAACGGAUCGCACCAUCGCGUUCAGCACAACGAGGGCAUCCAAACUACCAUCUUGUUUCGUCAGAUCUGGUCACGGAUUCGCGACGGAACCCACCCGCUCUCUAAUUAGUCCGUAUAUCGCGCAUAUACCGAAGUAUAAACCCUAAAACCUAUAAUCCAAAUUCAAAUUUGAAUUCCCUACCACCAGUAGGUACCAGAAACAACUCUCACCUAAUCCCAGGUCACGAGCACAGAGCACGAGGAGUUUUAAAAUGCACGAAUAGCAAAGAACGGAAACCCUCUUUUUGUUAAAUAUCGUAGUACUACCACUAUGAACAUUUUCAUAGUAUCGAGUUGAGAUAUAAAUAUAUAUAUAUAUAUCUCAACCUGACCUGAUGAUAAUCAUCGUUUUACGAUAGUCCAAAAAUCGGGAAUCUAGUUAAGAAAAAUAAUAAAAAUUGGUAACCUAAUUUAUGAUAUUGGGUCACCUCCGGUGAGUUGAGAUCCCCCUGGUAAAUUGAGAUUCACUGAUAAUAGUAGGAUUAGGAUGUUAAAAAGUAGGUUCCCAAUUUUUGAACUAUUAUUUUACUCACAAAAUGAUAAUUAUCAUAAAGUCUGAUUAAAAUAUAUAUAUAUAUAUAUAUAUAUAUAUAUAUAUUUCAACACGAUCUUAUGAUAGCCAUCAUUUGCUCGGCAAAAUGAUGGCUAAAUAAAAGCUACUAUCACGAAGGUUUAACUACUAGCCGAGGCAAUUUAUACUAGAUUUGGUAAAUUUGAUAAAUUUUCAGUUUAAAGUGUGUGAAAGCUAUAACUGUUACUUAUGAGAAAUUUUUUACUACUAUCCUCAGAACAUUAGUUCUAGUUCUUAUAUCUAGAACAAAAUUUAUCAAAUUUUUUAAAAGAUUGUCUUUAAGUUAACUAAACCUAUAGAAAUGCGGCAAUUUGCUCUUUUGCGGAGAAUAGCUGGUAAUUUUAAUGUUUAAAACUUUGGGAAACUAGUAAUCCGUUUACUACAGCUUUUCUAAACUUUAAACUAAAGAUUUGUGAAGUUCACCAUAUCUAGUAUAAGUUGCCUCGGCUAGCAGUUAAACUUUCGAGAUAGUAGCUUUUGUUUAGCUAUCAUUUUGCCGAGCAAAUGAUGGCUAUCAUAAGAUCUCAUAUCAUCGGGAUCGGAGAGAGAGAGAGAGAGAGAGAGAGAGAGAGAGAGAGAGAGAUAUAUAUAUAUAUAUAUAUAUAUAUAAGAUGAAUAAAUUGAAACCUAGCCCGGAUCUAUAAAUUCAAUUAUUAUAUAGGUAGCUUAAAUAAGCCUAAAUAAACUUGCCUAGAUCUAUCACUAAUAGAUAUAUGAGAAGCGAAUUCUGGCUUAUACAUAGCCUAAAUUUAGUCUCAUACCUAUGUGGAUCAGAUUAUUUUAAGCAAGUUGUAUUUCUAACUUCGUCAUUUGUAGAUCCUUAUUUUUUUAUUUUUUCUCAUUUAUCUAAUCCUAAAAAUGACCUUACUUUUAUGUGUUAUUCAGGAGAAUUUUAAUUAGAGAGUUGAAAUUUAAAAAAUAACUGAUAACCUAUAAGGCGGCCCAGAACCAGGACCCAGGCAUAUACAUUUGAAAAAGCUUAGGAUAGGUAAUUUUACAGUCCAACUUUAGCCCAGGUUUAGCCCAUACUCAUAUUAUAUAGGUUUAGGUAUAGGCUUUGAAAUUACCUAUUAUAAAAUGGGUAUAGGAUAGAUAAAAAAUAGUUCACGCCAAGCCUAGGUCCAUCCCAGACCCAUCCCAGGCCCAUACCCUAUAGUCCAUAAAACUUGGUGAAAUCCAGGUUGAAUACGAUGUCGUAGUAUUAGAAAGUAACCGUUUCUUUCGUGAUGUUAACCGACGAUUAUUGCGGUAGAAAGCGGUAAGGAGCUUACCAACUACUUGAAGGUGGAGUGUCUUAGAUUGUGUUGGUAACGUUACGGAAGUGGGAAAGACAAAUCAAAUUUAGGUGUGCUUUUCCAAAAAUUUGUUUAUUCUUUUUCUAGUAUGUUUCACCUUCAAAGUCUUACCACUAAGAUAAAUAAAUUUUCACGUUGUUGUACUCACUAUUAAUGAUUUAUGUACUACCAUAGAAAUUUUACCGUGUUCACGCGGAUGAUCUUAUUGUAGUUCUAGUAAACUUUAAGCUGCGGCCUCGAAGAGAUAUUCCUUGUUUAAAAACAAACUAUUAUUACUAUGAAGUGUAAUGGAGUCUUGUCAAUAAACCGGGAUGUCCGAGAGAGUCUGUUACGCUAUAGCGGCGCUGUCGUCGAAGUUAACUACUUAGGAGAGGGACAGGGUUGUUACCUCUCUCUUAAAAAGAAAUUUUUUCUUUUUGUGUUGAUUUAAGUCUUUGAAUCAACACGACACCUACUAUUUUGGAAAAGAAAGGUCAUCUUGUACAAGGGCAUGAAGGGGCGCUCCGCUGAGGUUUUUGAAGCUCCGUGCAGGUUUAGCUGGCUGCGUGGUUACAAUUUUAAAUAAUACAACGGACGCUUUUCACAGUCAUAGUCGUGUAGUAGUCUCUAGAGUUCCUCCUCCUCUUAAGGGUUUGAAGCUUCUGCUAAAUAUAGAGAAUGGCUUUCAACCUAGUCGCUGUUUGUGUUAACAAGAUAGUAGUUGAACGGUUUUCAGAAAUUAUCGAUUGGGACUCGUCCCCCUCUUCCUUUGUUUCAUUUCGUAGUUACCUCCCCUUUCAUUGUCGCGCCGUUUUGUUUAUUCUUCAAAACAAUGGAGAAAGCAGCCGCGUGGUAUUUACAAUCAAUCACUUAGUCUAGUCAUUCACCUCCUCUUGAUUUGAAUGCUAUGCUAAAUACAAAUUAGAAAAAAUCAUAAACUUUUGAAUGGACCACAUAGUCCUAUCAAAACACGUUCUUAAGAAUCAAAUUUAGGUCAUAGGAAGAGGUCUAGAUGAUAGAGAACUGUGUCUGCGAAAAGGACAAAUAUGUUUUUUGUCUUUUUAGUUACUUUAUUUUACAUGUUAUUAUUAGAUGUUGGGACAUUAUUGAUGACUUCGUGUGUUAGUAAAGCUGUACAACCCAGAGAGAUAUAUAAACUAUUUGAUUUUGUACUCCUUACAUGUUGUUUUCUUCGUAUAAAAGGUGCUUGUAAGGCAGCUUUGAGUCGUAAGAUACAAAAGUCGUAGGUAAGUUGACAUUUUAGCUAGACGGGGUUGUGUGGCUAGCAGCCCUCAAUAUAAGCGCUACAAAGUAUACAAAGUCUAGUAUAUUAAUUGUGAAUAAGAUGGCUUAACACAUCACAUUUAGCCAUUUGACUACUCUUAUUAAGUGUGGACUGGACGUCUCUCUUUGGGCGGUUGUAGUUACUGUCCUCACUUAAGGAAUCCUUCGUUAAGACCAAACAAUUGGGGUUGGAAGCGUAGUUGACGCCGUUGUGGAUGUUGUGGAGAUGAAGUACAGUCUUCUUCCUGUUAUGUAAUUAUUAUACGGACGAAGACGAAAGCUUCGAGUUUUAGAGCAAAACGAAGGGCGGCGUCGUCGUCUUCGACGUCUUAAAAGAAAAAGUGGUUGUGAGAUAUUCUCGACGACGACGACGACGACGACGACGACUUCCGUCUUAGGUUUCCUCCUGGUUUGUCCAUGGGUUUGGUACGAAAGUUCAAAGUUAAGGUAAUCUUUUUUUUUUUUUUUUUUCCUUAAUUAGGUCGAAUUUUGUAUUUAAUAAUCCUCUGGAAAGAAAAAUUGUUAUUGGGAAUUUUUUAAUAUUAAACGGUUCAUUAGAAACGUUUUUUAAUAAACCGUUUGGUUGAGAUGAUACAGGUUGAGUCCCGGUACCACCUCCUUCUAUAUUUUCUGUCAUUUAGCAAGUGGCAGAAAUGACUUUUGUCACUUAGUAAGUGAUAGAAAUCUUCCUUUACGCCACUGAAUAAGUGGCAAAAACUUUAUUUUUCUCUUUUUACUACUUAGUAAGCAACAAAAAAAUUUUAGGUUUGUACCAUUUGCUAAGUAACAAAAGGAUUUAAAGAUGUGGGUUACACCGUAACAGCACCGCUUUUAUUCUGAUAAAUCUAAGUAUUUAAAAACAACACUAAUAAACUGGUUUAGAUUUUAAAAAU